Long non-coding RNA from Poecilia reticulata (guppy), 991 nucleotides. RefSeq lists it as uncharacterized. The record is from RefSeq and is a predicted model, not a curated record. Lineage: Eukaryota; Metazoa; Chordata; Actinopteri; Cyprinodontiformes; Poeciliidae.
AAACUAAAACAACUAGAAAGAUGGUGCACUUUCUAAAUAUAUAGCAUUAUGCUAGUAUGCAUAGUUGGAAACGGUUCAGCUCUACACCCCUUUAGUUUUCUUCAGUUUAUCAAAAACUGCCCUGCUGCAGUCAGUUAUUUUUGUUUUAUGCAAAUGUUUUUAAUUAAAAGCCUGAGUUUGGUGGCACCAGUUCAAAUUUCUGUCCCCGUUCUCGUCUGCAAACUCCGGUCCCGAUAUUAGAGCGGCGAUUUGAUGACCUCCCGCGCGGAGAUGUUGAGACGUCCUGUUCUGCUCAGUAAAGUGGUGAGAACUCACAUCCAUAUUCCUCACCGCGGUGAAAGCCAACAUUUUGAUGGCGAGACCAUUGGCACGUAGCGCGCCAGACAGCGCAGCAGCUGAGGCACGGAGGGAUGUGACUGAGCUUGUUGCAACGGUGGCGAAAAGAGCGACAAGUCACAGCUGCAAGUUCUCACAGCUCCAGGUGUGAGAGCCAACCUGCGGUUUGCUGCUUUUGGACGAAUGUGACCCUAAACGAGUCCCCGAAAGACCGAGUUAGAUAAAUGCUGGGAGGAUGACGGCUGAGGCAGAACCAGCGGUAAAAUGGAGGACGAUUGGGAAUCUUAUAAAAGUUAUACGAGGAAAAGGACGCUUUCUAACGACGCUGGGAAACAGAACGGGACAUCGCCCGCUUGGGAAACCCAGCAGGAUCGCAUUGGAAACGACUCACAGAAGAAAAGAGACCUUUAAAUUGUAGGAAAAUAAUUUUAAGCUGACAUUUACGGCCGUUCCCGAACCCCCUUAGAGCAGCGUUUCCCAAACCGUGGUCCGUGUAACGUGCCAGGUACUGCAUGCCGUGAAACGAGCACAAAGCACGACAGGUAAAGUUAGCUUACCAAAAGACUGCGUUUGGAAAUAAUAGUGGAUACUGGCUUAAAACCGGAUUACUCCAAAGAAAACCGGAAGAGACAGGUGGAAAGUUUCCCAGGGUGAG